Molecule: ribosomal RNA, 253 nt
Filed under: uncultured bacterium
Lineage: Bacteria
Description: partial 16S ribosomal RNA
Rfam family: Bacterial small subunit ribosomal RNA
Source: RNAcentral
UACGGGGGGGGCAAGCGUUGUUCGGAAUUAUUGGGCGUAAAGGGUGCGUAGGCGGUAUGUUAAGUUUGUUGUUAAAUCCUCUGGCCUAACUGGGGGGCGGCAAUGAAAACUGGCAUGCUAGAGGGUGAGAGAGAGAAGUGGAAUUCCCGGAGUAGCGGUAAAAUGCGUAGAUCUCGGGAGGAACACCAGUGGCGAAGGCGGCUCACUGGCCCGGUACUGACGCUGAGGUGCGAAAGCGUGGGGAGCAAACAGG